This 116-nucleotide ribosomal RNA is filed under the name Candidatus Giovannonibacteria bacterium GW2011_GWA2_45_21. RNAcentral also lists the same sequence under 3 other names. The record is from RNAcentral. Lineage: Bacteria; Candidatus Giovannoniibacteriota.
GACUCGGUGACUAUACUGGCGUUGUACUACCUGAUCCCAUUCCGAACUCAGAAGUAAAAGACGCCAAGGCCCAUGAUAGUUGGAUUUAUCCAGCGAAAGUAGGUAGUCGCCGGAUC